Girardinichthys multiradiatus is the source of this 1541-nucleotide long non-coding RNA. RefSeq lists it as uncharacterized. The record is from RefSeq and is a predicted model, not a curated record. The transcript is spliced from 5 exons. NCBI's taxonomy places the organism in Eukaryota, Metazoa, Chordata, Actinopteri, Cyprinodontiformes, Goodeidae.
GCCUUCUCUACACUCUUCCCAAGGUAUAUAUUCCUCUCCGGUUGUUCCCACUGUCCUGUAUCUCUACUUGUGCUGCGUGUCCUGGAAGUUAUUAGAUCUGUGGCGUUAUUCUCCAGUCCCCAAAUGUCUGAGGCUCAGCAGGUUGCAGAUGUGUCAUUGCUCCAAUCACUGAAUUUCUUGCUCAGUGUGUCACCUAGCUCUGCAGAUGCAUGAAACUGGAACAACUGCUGUGGAUUGAAUCCUAACUUUCCAAGUCAGAAGUUAUUCUAAAGUUUCUGAUUUUACACCAUGAGGAUCAAUGAACAGUCCCCAUCAAGGAGAAGACACUUUUUGAAGCAAUCAGAAUUGUGAAUGCCUGGUCUAAGUGGAGCCGGCGGUGGUGCAGGGGUUAAAAUGCGACCCAUAUCCAGUCCUCGAUGCAGCCGGUACAGGUUCGACGCCCAGGCAACCUUUGGUCUGAGUCAUAAUAUUUUAACGUCUUCUCUUCCGUCGGCCUCGGCUGUGUUGAUGUCUUACUCCUCGGAGUCAGGAAAUCUUCAUGGGAUACCAGUGAUGUGCUUCCCUGGCUGCAUUCCUGCACUCAAACCAUGAGUGGUGUCAGAGGGGGAAAUGAGAGAAACUGGACCCACAGAGCUUCCUCAAACGUGAGUUUCCUGAGCUCAGGAAAUGGAACGGCCCCCCGGUGUUUAUAGGCAAACCCCGAGUGACCAGAGCUCUUGGCUUCCCCAUGGCCUCUAUGCCCCCUCAGAACACUUGGAAGGACAUCAAAGUGUUAAAGCAUUAAGAGAAAACACAUUAUGACUUACAAACUGAACACAAGCCGACACUGAUUAUUUCUUUCAUGUUCUUGUUUUCUUCUCCUUCUCCUUCUUUUUUUGUGCAAAUCCUUGAAGACUCUGCAGGCAGUUUCUAUCUGCACCUCCAUCUAUCUUGGUCAAGUUGUGGAUGUAAUUUGUCAUGAAUCGUUGAUGGUGGCAGCAGAUAACCGACGAAACACCUCAGCCUCUGCCAAGCCAUCACUCACAUUAAUUAGAGUUGCACAGCGGAGUGUGGAUGUUUAAAUCCCAGAAAAUCUGACAGGAAUGUGGUGCAAAUAAGUACAGUAUUUAAAAGCACACUUUCCUCUUCAAUAUGGGUGUAUUUCAGCCACAACUGUGCAUUUGGUUCAGCAGUUAUCCCAACCUGGGCUCUGGGAGACAGUUACCUGGAUACCAGGAAGGUUCGCUGAGUGCAUAUCUAUAGAAAACCAUAGAACCUUCACCAAAACUUCAGGCCCAAAUCUUUCCAGGUGUGGAACUAAAAUUAAAUUGGUGAACAAGGAUGGCAGGCAUGGCUAAGGUUGCAUUAUUCCCCAAAGAAAAUGCGAAAAUCUUCAAAAAGCCAACAUGUAGUCAGUUGUCGAAGAUCAGUAGUAGCAGCUCAGUGUUAUGAUUUGGGGUUGUUUGAUUUUUGGUUUUUUCUUUAUAUGUUCUUCACAACUCAAGUUUUGAAUCAUGUUUCUGUUUAUUAUUUUCCUGUUUAUGUUUUUGUUUCAUGUUUUU